GACGAACGCUGGCGGCAGGCCUAACACAUGCAAGUCGAGCGGACCUUUCGGGGUCAGCGGCGGACGGGUGAGUAACGCGUGGGAAUAUGCCCUUCUCUACGGAAUAGUCCUGGGAAACUGGGGGUAAUACCGUAUACGCCCUUUGGGGGAAAGAUUUAUCGGGGAAGGAUUAGCCCGCGUUGGAUUAGGUAGUUGGUGGGGUAAUGGCCUACCAAGCCGACGAUCCAUAGCUGGUUUGAGAGGAUGAUCAGCCACACUGGGACUGAGACACGGCCCAGACUCCUACGGGAGGCAGCAGUGGGGAAUCUUAGACAAUGGGGCAACCCUGAUCUAGCCAUGCCGCGUGAGUGAUGAAGGCCUUAGGGUUGUAAAGCUCUUUCAGCUGGGAAGAUAAUGACGGUACCAGCAGAAGAAGCCCCGGCUAACUCCGUG
This 432-nucleotide ribosomal RNA is filed under the name uncultured bacterium. RNAcentral's name for it is "partial 16S ribosomal RNA". It matches the Rfam family "Bacterial small subunit ribosomal RNA", at positions 28 to 507 of the family's 1533-position model. The record is from RNAcentral.